This is a non-coding RNA of Tulasnella sp. 408, 91 nucleotides long. The record is from the annotation of a GenBank genome assembly. Lineage: Eukaryota; Fungi; Basidiomycota; Agaricomycetes; Cantharellales; Tulasnellaceae.
GACACUUUGGCCGAGUGGUUAAGGCGGCAGACUCGAAUUACGUUCAAUCUGCUGGAGUUUCUCCGCAUAGGUUCAAAUCCUGUAGGUGUCG